Molecule: transfer RNA, 74 nt
Filed under: Thermoanaerobaculia bacterium
Lineage: Bacteria; Pseudomonadati; Acidobacteriota; Thermoanaerobaculia
Also listed under: 2 other names
Description: tRNA-Gln
Rfam family: tRNA
About the family: Transfer RNA (tRNA) molecules are approximately 80 nucleotides in length. Their secondary structure includes four short double-helical elements and three loops (D, anti-codon, and T loops).
Source: RNAcentral
UGGGAGAUCGUCUAACGGUAGGACAAACGGCUCUGGACCGUUGAAUCGGGGUUCGAAUCCCUGUCUCCCAGCCA